This 471-nucleotide ribosomal RNA is filed under the name uncultured bacterium. Its description in RNAcentral is "bacterial SSU rRNA". It matches the Rfam family "Bacterial small subunit ribosomal RNA", at positions 8 to 526 of the family's 1533-position model. The record is from RNAcentral.
AGGGUUUGAUUCUGGCUCAGGAUGAACGCUGGCGGCGUGCUUAACACAUGCAAGUCGAACGAACCUUCGGGUUAGUGGCGGACGGGUGAGUAACGCGUGAGAAUCUGCCCUCAGGAGGGGGAUAACGGUUGGAAACGACCGCUAAUACCCCAUAUGCCUAUUGGUGAAAUGAAUUUCGCCUGAGGAUGAGCUCGCGUCUGAUUAGCUUGUUGGUGAGGUAAUGGCUCACCAAGGCUUCGAUCAGUAGCUGGUCUGAGAGGAUGAUCAGCCACACUGGGACUGAGACACGGCCCAGACUCCUACGGGAGGCAGCAGUGGGGAAUUUUCCGCAAUGGGCGAAAGCCUGACGGGGCAACGCCGCGUGAGGGACGAAGGCCUCUGGGCUGUAAACCUCUUUUCUCAAGGAAGAAGAUAUGACGGUACUUGAGGAAUAAGCCACGGCUAAUUCCGUGCCAGCCGCCGCGGUAAUAC